Molecule: ribosomal RNA, 464 nt
Filed under: uncultured bacterium
Lineage: Bacteria
Description: bacterial SSU rRNA
Rfam family: Bacterial small subunit ribosomal RNA
Source: RNAcentral
UCCAGACUCCUACGGGAGGCAGCAGUGAGGAAUAUUGGUCAAUGGCCGAGAGGCUGAACCAGCCAAGUCGCGUGAGGGAAGACGGCCCUACGGGUUGUAAACCUCUUUUGUCGGGGAGCAAAGCGAGUCACGUGUGACUCAUUGAGAGUACCCGAAGAAAAAGCAUCGGCUAACUCCGUGCCAGCAGCCGCGGUAAUACGGAGGAUGCGAGCGUUAUCCGGAUUUAUUGGGUUUAAAGGGUGCGUAGGCGGGUUGUAAGGUCAGCGGUAAACGCCCGGGCCUCACCCCCGGCGAGCCGUUGAAACUGGCUGUCUUGAGAUGUCGAGAGGUAUGCGGAAUGCGCAGUGUAGCGGUGAAAUGCUUAGAUAUUGCGCAGAACUCCGAUUGCGAAGGCAGCAUACCGGCGGCGAUCUGACGCUGAGGCACGAAAGCGUGGGUAUCGAACAGGAUUAGAUACCCUAGUA